Molecule: transfer RNA, 73 nt
Filed under: Paramuricea clavata
Lineage: Eukaryota; Metazoa; Cnidaria; Anthozoa; Malacalcyonacea; Plexauridae
Rfam family: tRNA
About the family: Transfer RNA (tRNA) molecules are approximately 80 nucleotides in length. Their secondary structure includes four short double-helical elements and three loops (D, anti-codon, and T loops). Further hydrogen bonds mediate the characteristic L-shaped molecular structure. tRNAs have two regions of fundamental functional importance: the anti-codon, which is responsible for specific mRNA codon recognition, and the 3' end, to which the tRNAs corresponding amino acid is attached (by aminoacyl-tRNA synthetases). tRNAs cope with the degeneracy of the genetic code in two manners: having more than one tRNA (with a specific anti-codon) for a particular amino acid; and 'wobble' base-pairing, i.e. permitting non-standard base-pairing at the 3rd anti-codon position.
Source: Rfam by way of RNAcentral
GCCUCAUUAGCUCAGUGGUUAGAGCACUGGUCUUGUAAACCAGGGCUCUGGAGUUUCAUUCUCUUAUGGGGCU